UGGGGAAUAUUGGACAAUGGGCGCAAGCCUGAUCCAGCCAUGCCGCGUGUGUGAAGAAGGCCUUUUGGUUGUAAAGCACUUUAAGCGAGGAGGAGGCUACUUGGAUUAAUACUCUAAGAUAGUGGACGUUACUCGCAGAAUAAGCACCGGCUAACUCUGUGCCAGCAGCCGCGGUAAUACAGAGGGUGCGAGCGUUAAUCGGAUUUACUGGGCGUAAAGCGUGCGUAGGCGGCUUCUUAAGUCGGAUGUGAAAUCCCUGAGCUUAACUUAGGAAUUGCAUUCGAUACUGGGAAGCUUGAGUAUGGGAGAGGAUGGUAGAAUUCCAGGUGUAGCGGUGAAAUGCGUAGAGAUCUGGAGGAAUACCGAUGGCGAAGGCAGCCAUCUGGCCUAAUACUGACGCUGAGGUACGAAAGCAUGGGGAGCAAACAGG
Molecule: ribosomal RNA, 430 nt
Filed under: bacterium
Lineage: Bacteria
Description: partial 16S ribosomal RNA
Rfam family: Bacterial small subunit ribosomal RNA
Source: RNAcentral